Molecule: long non-coding RNA, 877 nt
Filed under: Brassica napus (rape)
Lineage: Eukaryota; Viridiplantae; Streptophyta; Magnoliopsida; Brassicales; Brassicaceae
Description: long non-coding RNA (BNAP_LNC015988)
Source: RNAcentral
UUUGAGCAUAUCAGAAUCUCUACUCAUUUUGCUCUCUCUCUCUCUAAAAGCUCUUUCUAGUUUUACAGAACAAGAUCAUUCAACAAAGCUGUUACAAGAAAAGAAAAGAAGAAAACAAGACAUCAUCCACGGAAGAUGAUUUUUGAGCUUUGGUUUCAGACAGAAGCAGUAUCAGGCAUGUCCUCUUCUCAUCUCUUUGUUAUGUUUUCUUUGUACUUCUUAUUUUUAGAACUAGCUCUUGUUUUGUAACUAGAAGCUAUAACCUUCAUACAUGGCUUUCAUAUAUUACAACAACAUGGUGAAGAUUCAUGAAACAUAGAAUGUUUAAUCAAAGACCAAGAAUUUCUACUGCAUUAAAUUGUGUUGUUUUCUUAGUGGUUAUUCUUAUUCAAUUAUCUUAAGCGCUUAAUCCUUUAUAGAUAGCAUAUAGAACUUGUAAAAAAUACAUGUAAAGUUUCAAUUGAGAUUUAUUAUGUCUUGUAUUUUACAUAUUACAUUUCGAUCAAGGUACUAAAUUACAACAAAUGUUCCUUGUGAAAUGAUUCCUCUACACAUGUAUAUAUCAACAGUUUUGUAUUAUUAUCAUCUCUUCCAUGUACAAGCAGUGGUCUCUCCUUCUCUAGCUUCUUUUUUGCAGUAAAAUUAUCUUUUAUGUUUUCAUCAGCUUGAUCAUUGGAGAACAGCAUAAUUGUCUGUACGAAAACUCUGUUUAGGAUAAGUCUAGUUGCUAACGUUCUACUAGUCAUAGUUAAAGCAGUGAGGAGCUUCUUACCAGUCUGACAAAUUGAAAUGUAUGAUAGGUGUGUUGUUGUUAUGUGAGACAAGGCCCAACUUUGACGGGUUUGACGACCCUGAAAGCUCUUCUUGCAUGCUCGAA